UGGGGUCUUGUGUUGUACAACAAUUUGUUGUCAUUGAUGAUGGCUCCGGUGUUCUGGAUUCUCACAGGAGAGUAUAGGGAGGUGUUUGCUUCUUUGGGUUCAAAGGCUGGGAAUUGGUUCGAAUAUGAUGCAUUUUUUGCAGUUUCUUUGUCCUGUGUGUUUGGUUUGGCUAUUAGUUUUUUUGGAUUUGCGGCAAGGAGGGCGAUAUCUGCAACAGCAUUCACUGUGACUGGUGUAGUUAAUAAGUUUCUUACAGUUGUGAUCAAUGUGCUCAUUUGGGAUAAGCACGCCAGUCCAUUUGGUUUGCUUUGCCUACUCUUCACACUUGCUGGAGGUGUUCUCUAUCAGCAGUCAGUUACUAGAGCUGGAGCUGAGCCUGUUCCUAAGCAGACAAACAGCGAAAAUGAUGGCGAUGAAGAGACUCAACUUGUCAAAAAAACUGAUGGUGAUGAAGAGAACUAAGGGAGGAGCAUAUCUGGUAAACAUGCUUCUGCAUGACAAUUAUUAUUUCAUAUGUUUUCAUAUUCUAUUUAGCUUGGAUGAUGAUUUGAAGAGGCUUAUUGUGAUGUAUGGAGGUUUUUAUCUCUAGUACUAGGGAUUAAAGAGUAUCUUAGUUGUAUUAGAUAUUUUAAGGAAUUUAUCCUUCUUGUUUCUUACACUAUGUGUCUUUGUUUUAUUUGCUUUACCAUAUGGUAAUGAUUUGGUCUUUUAUUAACAGUUUUUUGGUGUUCUUGUAUGUUGCUUUUGUGAAGUAAAGUGGUGGUCUUUUUACAUGUUUACUUAUUAUUGAGAAUAUGGAAAGCUGGCUGUGGGAUUUUGUUGCAACAAUUGCUAGAAUUCAAGAUUGAGUUCAGGUUCCCUGGAUAGGUUUACCACUCUUUUACUUCAU
Molecule: unclassified non-coding RNA, 889 nt
Filed under: Hevea brasiliensis (rubber tree)
Lineage: Eukaryota; Viridiplantae; Streptophyta; Magnoliopsida; Malpighiales; Euphorbiaceae
Source: RNAcentral